RNAcentral lists this ribosomal RNA (468 nucleotides) under uncultured bacterium. RNAcentral describes it as "partial 16S ribosomal RNA". It matches the Rfam family "Bacterial small subunit ribosomal RNA", at positions 28 to 507 of the family's 1533-position model. The record is from RNAcentral.
GACGAACGCUGGCGGCGUGCUUAACACAUGCAAGUCGAACGGAAAGGCCCUGCUUUUGUGGGGUGCUCGAGUGGCGAACGGGUGAGUAACACGUGAGUAACCUGCCCUUGACUUUGGGAUAACUUCAGGAAACUGGGGCUAAUACCGGAUAGGCGCUCCUGCUGCAUGGUGGGGGUUGGAAAGUUUCGGCGGUUGGGGAUGGACUCGCGGCUUAUCAGUUUGUUGGUGGGGUAGUGGCUUACCAAGGCUUUGACGGGUAGCCGGCCUGAGAGGGUGACCGGCCACAUUGGGACUGAGAUACGGCCCAGACUCCUACGGGAGGCAGCAGUGGGGAAUAUUGCACAAUGGGCGGAAGCCUGAUGCAGCAACGCCGCGUGCGGGAUGACGGCCUUCGGGUUGUAAACCGCUUUCGCCUGUGACGAAGCGUGAGUGACGGUAAUGGGUAAAGAAGCACCGGCUAACUACGUG